GACGAACCGUGCAAACGUUGUUCGGAAUCACUGGGCUUAAAGGGCGCGUAGGCGGCUUAUCAAGUCGGGGGUGAAAUACUUCAGCUUAACUGGAGAAGUGCCUUCGAUACUGGUGGGCUUGAGGGAGGUAGGGGUCUGUGGAACUUCUGGUGGAGCGGUGAAAUGCGUUGAUAUCAGAAGGAACGCCGGUGGCGAAAGCGACGGACUGGACCUCUUCUGACGCUGAGGCGCGAAAGCUAGGGGAGCAAACGGG
Molecule: ribosomal RNA, 253 nt
Filed under: uncultured bacterium
Lineage: Bacteria
Description: partial 16S ribosomal RNA
Rfam family: Bacterial small subunit ribosomal RNA
Source: RNAcentral